AUUGAACGCUGGCGGCAUGCUUUACACAUGCCAGUCGAACGGUAACAGGCCGCCAGGUGCUGACGAGUGGCGGACGGGUGAGUAAUGCAUCGGAACGUGCCCAGUCGUGGGGGAUAACUACUCGAAAGAGUAGCUAAUACCGCAUACGAUCUAUGGAUGAAAGCGGGGGACCGUAAGGCCUCGCGCGAUUGGAGCGGCCGAUGUCAGAUUAGGUAGUUGGUGGGGUAAAGGCUCACCAAGCCAACGAUCUGUAGCUGGUCUGAGAGGACGACCAGCCACACUGGGACUGAGACACGGCCCAGACUCCUACGGGAGGCAGCAGUGGGGAAUUUUGGACAAUGGGCGCAAGCCUGAUCCAGCAAUGCCGCGUGCAGGAAGAAGGCCUUCGGGUUGUAAACUGCUUUUGUACGGAACGAAACGGCUCUGGUUAAUACCCGGGGCUAAUGACGGUACCGUAAGAAUAAGCACCGGCUAACUACGUG
This 482-nucleotide ribosomal RNA is filed under the name uncultured bacterium. Its description in RNAcentral is "partial 16S ribosomal RNA". It matches the Rfam family "Bacterial small subunit ribosomal RNA", at positions 30 to 507 of the family's 1533-position model. The record is from RNAcentral.